RNAcentral lists this ribosomal RNA (252 nucleotides) under uncultured bacterium. RNAcentral describes it as "partial 16S ribosomal RNA". It matches the Rfam family "Bacterial small subunit ribosomal RNA", at positions 524 to 776 of the family's 1533-position model. The record is from RNAcentral.
UACGGAGGAUGCGAGCAUUAUCCGGAUUUAUUGGGUUUAAAGGGUGCGCAGGCGGCGUGUCAAGUCAGCGGUAAAAUGUCGGGGCUCAACCCCGGCCGGCCGUUGAAACUGGCGUGCUCGAGUUGGAGAGAAGUAUGCGGAAUUCGUGGUGUAGCGGUGAAAUGCAUAGAUAUCACGAAGAACCCCGAUUGCGAAGGCAGCAUACCGGCUCCACACUGACGCUGAGGCACGAAAGCGUGGGUAUCGAACAGG